UAUACUGCAGUCGAGCGAAUGGAUUAAGAGCUUGCUCUUAUGAAGUUAGCGGCGGACGGGUGAGUAACACGUGGGUAACCUGCCCAUAAGACUGGGAUAACUCCGGGAAACCGGGGCUAAUACCGGAUAACAUUUUGAACCGCAUGGUUCGAAAUUGAAAGGCGGCUUCGGCUGUCACUUAUGGAUGGACCCGCGUCGCAUUAGCUAGUUGGUGAGGUAACGGCUCACCAAGGCAACGAUGCGUAGCCGACCUGAGAGGGUGAUCGGCCACACUGGGACUGAGACACGGCCCAGACUCCUACGGGAGGCAGCAGUAGGGAAUCUUCCGCAAUGGACGAAAGUCUGACGGAGCAACGCCGCGUGAGUGAUGAAGGCUUUCGGGUCGUAAAACUCUGUUGUUAGGGAAGAACAAGUGCUAGUUGAAUAAGCUGGCACCUUGACGGUACCUAACCAGAAAGCCACGGCUAACUACGUGCCAGCAGCCGCGGUAAUACGUAGGUGGCAAGCGUUAUCCGGAAUUAUUGGGCGUAAAGCGCGCGCAGGUGGUUUCUUAAGUCUGAUGUGAAAGCCCACGGCUCAACCGUGGAGGGUCAUUGGAAACUGGGAGACUUGAGUGCACAAGAAGAAAGUGGAAUUC
This 637-nucleotide ribosomal RNA is filed under the name Bacillus anthracis (anthrax bacterium). Its description in RNAcentral is "bacterial SSU rRNA". It matches the Rfam family "Bacterial small subunit ribosomal RNA", at positions 50 to 669 of the family's 1533-position model. Lineage: Bacteria; Bacillati; Bacillota; Bacilli; Caryophanales; Bacillaceae. The record is from RNAcentral.